UACGUAGGUGGCAAGCGUUAUCCGGAAUUAUUGGGCGUAAAGAGCGCGCAGGUGGUUGAUUAAGUCUGAUGUGAAAGCCCACGGCUUAACCGUGGAGGGUCAUUGGAAACUGGUCGACUUGAGUGCAGAAGAGGGAAGUGGAAUUCCAUGUGUAGCGGUGAAAUGCGUAGAGAUAUGGAGGAACACCAGUGGCGAAGGCGGCUUUCUGGCCAGUUACUGACGCUCAUGCGCGAGAGCUGGGUUAGCGAACCGGAUUAGAUA
RNAcentral lists this ribosomal RNA (261 nucleotides) under uncultured prokaryote. Its description in RNAcentral is "partial 16S ribosomal RNA". It matches the Rfam family "Bacterial small subunit ribosomal RNA", at positions 524 to 784 of the family's 1533-position model. The record is from RNAcentral.